This 80-nucleotide microRNA precursor is filed under the name Python bivittatus (Burmese python). RNAcentral's name for it is "microRNA pbv-mir-31 precursor". Its record names the gene pbv-mir-31. It matches the Rfam family "mir-31 microRNA precursor family". Lineage: Eukaryota; Metazoa; Chordata; Lepidosauria; Squamata; Pythonidae. The record is from miRBase by way of RNAcentral.
AUUGAGAGCUGGAGAGGAGGCAAGAUGUUGGCAUAGCUGAUGAACUGAGAACCUGCUAUGCCAACAUAUUGCCCUCUUUC